CUUUACUCCAUUCCCGUGUUUCUGUUCCACUGUUUAUCACUUCACAGAACAGACUACAGAAUUACUAGAUAUACAUACUACAACACCAUGUUAAUCGUCUACUGCGUGUCUGCGUCCAGCUGCAGACUCUGUUUCCCAACAGCUGUUCUUGUUCACUACUGUAAAACCAUGGUUAGAUCGCUCCGUGAACCGGAGGAUAAGAUACAAUAGGAAUGUGCCAUAAGCAAGCACAGCCACACAGAGGCACAUGCCAGAUAUCGGGCCUCGUAUCUCCGAGGAGAAGAAAUCCAACAAGAGAUAGCCAUUGAUUAUGAUCGGUAAAGAUGCAACUGUCCAGGUUACGAUCUGCGCAAAUAUGCCAAUGUCUUGUAUCCCCACUACGGAAAUGCAAAUGCAUACUGUUUAAGAAUUCUGAGUGCUGCACUGGUGGAAUAGACCAAAACGAUUCUACAAGCUGAAACCAACUUGAUCAAUUCACUGUUUGCACCUCUAUACAAAUCACCUGCUUUUUGCAGAACAUGGAUGAUAUCAUCCUACAGAUUUGCAAUAACUAGAUUAAUGAACCAAUUUAUUGGAACUAUCUUGUGAAGUAACACCUCAUUUGUGCAAACUACCAACUAGCCUUUGAUAACUCGUACUACCCACCAGGCACCAGUACAUCUCAAUAGCACAAAAGAGCGACCAAA
Brachypodium distachyon (stiff brome) is the source of this 686-nucleotide long non-coding RNA. RefSeq lists it as uncharacterized. The transcript is spliced from 3 exons. The record is from RefSeq and is a predicted model, not a curated record. NCBI's taxonomy places the organism in Eukaryota, Viridiplantae, Streptophyta, Magnoliopsida, Poales, Poaceae.